Small nucleolar RNA from Sinocyclocheilus anshuiensis, 138 nucleotides. The record is from Ensembl. NCBI's taxonomy places the organism in Eukaryota, Metazoa, Chordata, Actinopteri, Cypriniformes, Cyprinidae.
GUUCCCUCCUAUGCUUUGCCCACUGGAGGCUGUCUGUGUUUCUAGUGGCCAUAUCAGGGGGGUACAGUGAGCUACUCUUGCUAAAACCUGGGUCAGAGGUCACUUCUCUGUGCCUGGAUCCUGUCGCAAGACACACGC